This 26-nucleotide transfer RNA is filed under the name Pseudoleskeopsis imbricata. Its description in RNAcentral is "partial tRNA-Ser". The record is from RNAcentral. Lineage: Eukaryota; Viridiplantae; Streptophyta; Bryopsida; Hypnales; Leskeaceae.
GGAAAGAGAGGGAUUCGACCCCUCCG